GGACCCGCACAAGCAGCGGAGCAUGUGGUUUAAUUCGAAGCAACGCGAAGAACCUUACCAGGGCUUGACAUGCCCCUGACCGCUCUAGAGAUAGGGCCUUCCCUUCGGGGACAGGGGACACAGGUGGUGCAUGGUUGUCGUCAGCUCGUGUCGUGAGAUGUUGGGUUAAGUCCCGUAACGAGCGCAACCCUUGUCUUUAGUUGCUAACAGGUUAAGCUGAGCACUCUAGAGAGACUGCCGAUGACAAAUCGGAGGAAGGUGGGGAUGACGUCAAAUCAUCAUGCCCUUUAUGUCCUGGGCUACACACGUGCUACAAUGGUCGGUACAACGAGCAGCUACACAGCGAUGUGAUGCUAAUCUCUUAAAGCCGAUCUCAGUUCGGAUUGCAGGCUGCAACUCGCCUGCAUGAAGUCGGAGUUGCUAGUAAUCGCGAAUCAGCAUGUCGCGGUGAAUGCGUUCCCGGGUCUU
RNAcentral lists this ribosomal RNA (468 nucleotides) under uncultured bacterium. RNAcentral describes it as "bacterial SSU rRNA". It matches the Rfam family "Bacterial small subunit ribosomal RNA", at positions 917 to 1382 of the family's 1533-position model. The record is from RNAcentral.